This 610-nucleotide long non-coding RNA is filed under the name Marmota monax (woodchuck). Lineage: Eukaryota; Metazoa; Chordata; Mammalia; Rodentia; Sciuridae. The record is from RNAcentral.
UACAGGUGUGUGCCAUCACAUUUGGCAACAUUUCACAUUUUUUAAAUGAAUAGUGGGUGCUUAAUAAUCUACUUAUGGAUAAAAUAUUGUUGGGAAUUUAUGUGUUUCCAAAUUUUUACUCGUAAGGAUAAUAUGCAGGGGCUCCUUUUAUAAUACUAUUUUCCCCCUAAAAGUCUUUUGAACAACCAGGUGCCUCUUGUAUAUUUUUAAGUUGAUCUCUAACCUGGUAUCUCAAGUUUAACAAAAUACAGUUGCUCCUCCACUUACAAUGUGGCCUCAUCCCUAUCAACCUAAUGUAAGUUGAAAAAACUGUAAGUAAAAAAUGUAUUCAAUAUAUCUAGGCUACCAAAUAUCAUAGCUUAGCAACAGAGUACCCACUAUUCACCCUCGUGAUCACAUUGCUGACAGAGCACCACGCAGCAUCAUGAGAGUAUCCUACCCCACAUCACUGCCCAGGGAAAGACCAAAUACAAAAUCCCAAGAAUAGUUUCUUUUUACUCAAUGUAUAUUGCUUUUGUAUCAUAAAGCCAAGAAAUCAUGAAGUUGAACUACUGCUAUAAGUCAGGAACCAUCUGUAUAUAAUUUAGAACACACUAUUUACAUGCUUCAA